AGGAUUUGUCUUCAGAGGUGCUGCCAGCAGCUGGGUGCUUGCUCAGGAGCCUUGGGGCAGAACUUCUGUGUCCAAAACCCGAGAGGGCUGUGUCCACAUCCUGGCCCAGCUCUCUCAUGAACCCUUCCCAUGAUGCUAGAGGGGAUUCCUCACUUUGGACCAUCUCUUUUACACUGGAACCCAGCACAGGACAGCAUUUUCCUCUCCCAGUUUUCCCACUAGAGGAUGGCAGUGCCUAGAGCCACAAUGUCAGAGGCUAACAAAUGAUUAACCAGAACAUCAAGAAAUGAAGUACAGAGGAUCCCUGGAGGUCUAAUCCAACAUCAAGUGUGAGCUGCUGCUUUCCCGUUCUGGGCAGACACAACAAUUCCUCUCCUGGCCUGGGAACCAAGGACACCACACUGCCUCAAGGCCCAGAGAUGUGAACAAAAAUUUCCCUUCCUGGAUUACAGAAACAUUGUCCAGAGCAAGUGCUGCCUGUGGAGUUGUCAUGGAAUGGUUUGGGUUGGAAGAGACCUUAAAGAUCAUCUUAUCCAAAUUCCUUGCCAUGGAAAAGAACACCUUCCACUAGAGCAGAGUGCUCCAAGCCUCGUCCAGCCUGGUCAUGAACACUUCCAAGCAACGUCGGCAUCUGCACAUCCCGGCUGGUGCCAGGGCUGCCAGCAAUGCCAGAAAUUUGGGAAUUCUGGAGGCAUCACAUUCCCCCACUGGGCAACCACUGGACCAACAGGAGGGUGAAAUAUCAGAGAGAAUAACCUUGGAGAAGAACCCAAUAACCUUGGCAUGAACCGCUGCAUUUCCAGUUAAAUAGAAUAAACAAAAGCAGAGUGGUGGCUCAAGGUUUCUAAUUCCAAAAGAGCAGACUAAGAAAUUACAGAAAUUACAGAAACUAAUUAGUGGAGUCAACGUGUUUGAAGUGCCAGGGGACUAAGUGUGAAGGAGCUUUGGAAUCUGGAGUCAAGGCUUCAAAAUCUGUUUGAAGUGCACCACAAACAAGGAGGCAGCAAUUUACAGAAAAUGGAAGUGGCUCUUCAACAUUUGCUUAAAACCCAAAUGAUCUGGAAGAUAGCAGACAGCCAAAAGCUGGAUUUUAGGGGUGCAUUUUCUCCAGAUUUACAGCCAGUGCAGCGGAGUUGUCAGGAGCAGCUGUCACUGCAGCCCUAAUGGAAGCUGUGAAACAUCCUUGGAUAUCAGUUGUGUUUGAACAGGACCCUGUGGAUCCCUUCCCAACCAGAGCCUUUUCCCUGCUGUGAUGGAUGAAAAAAUAUUCAGGAGAGAAUAAGAAAGUUUGGAACUGCAGUUUUUGAAAAUGGGAUUAUUCUCCCACUUCCUGCUGGGGCAGGAGUCAAACACCCCAGGACUGUGGCACUGCUGCUGUUCUGACUGUGGCUUUUGUCUUCAUGGUAGCACGGAGUGCUUUAUGGGCUGCAGUGCAAUCUCCCUGUGAAUAAUAAAUCACUGUUCUUCCAGUGCCAGCUCUGACCUUUUCUGACUGAGAUUGUAGCACAUCAUCAUAAAAUAACGUCCAUGUGAUGGAGAAUCACCUGCCCUGGCAAGAGGGGUUCUGCACAGGGAUCCUUAAAGAGCUGGCUGGCUCUGAGCAGCUACAAAUGGGUGACACAACCUGACAAACUGUCCUGGAAAAGCAGCAAUAAAUCCCUGUUUUCAACAGUGUCUGGAAAUCUCUCAAGAUACAAAGGAGCAAGGGUGUGAUGAGCAUUGCCACGUGUGGCGAGCGUUCUCUAAGGUAAACCCACGAGGUUCUCCUCAAGGAAAUGCUGCUGCCGUUGAUGUUAGUCAGUAUAAAUAUUGAAAUGAGGCCUGUCUUUAAAGAUAUUGAUAUUUUUUCAGAUUAACAGGUUUGGAAAGCUCUCUAAUCACAGCAGGGUUUUUUUAAAUGUAAUUAAAUGUAUUCCGGGCACUUCCCGAUUUCAUUCUUUACUCUGAAAAAUUGUUAGAUUUUCGUACAAGUUCAAUCCCCUUUAGAACUGAGUAUGUGAAGAAGUUCUUUGGAUUGGAUUUCUUACUGUGGAAUAGUUUAUUCUCUUCAUAAAAUCUCUUGGUGUAUGGAUUUUCUACAAGGUAGUGACUGUAGUUGUUUUAUUUAUUGCAAACUCCAGAUGACUAUAGAAGUUCAAAGAAAGUACUUGAAUUUUAAAAAAAAGGGAAUUAUUACAUAUCUCUGUUGGACUGCCAAACUUAUACUACAAUAUUUCCAUUUACCCUUCUACCCAUGUGUCUACAUAUACAUAGAUUUAAAAAUAUUGUAUAGAAUAUGAAAAAACCAUUUCUGCCUUUCUUCCUCAUGUGUUUAUUAGUAGUUUCUGUCAUUUAAAGCACAGUCAUUUAGUUCUCUGAGCAAGCUGAUAUAUAUAAUUUUUAUAAAAUAUCUAUGACUUGGGGAACUUGCAUGUAUGAGUUAUGAAAAGAAGCACAGGGAAAUUUUUCCUUUCCUUUUCUCCCCGCUCCAUCAUGUCAUGCUUGCAGUUAACCUUUACUUAUUUAAUCCUACUUUAACCAUAAUUGCAUAUUCUCUACUCCAUUCAUUUGGCAUCAUUCAAUUUUUGUGUGAUCUUUCCAUUUUUGCAGUAUUGGAAAGUAAUCUAACCAAAGUUUCAAAUGUUUCUUCUGCUCGCAUUAUGACACAAGAAUAAAAAAUAUCACCAAGGAAACGGAGAGACUUCAGAGACAAUUUAUUCUUUUAAGUCAGACCAAAGUUUAAUUUAGAUGAAAAUCCUGGAAGACAUAAUUCCUCACAAAGUCAGUAAUGUUCUUCUCA
Long non-coding RNA from Passer domesticus (house sparrow), 2779 nucleotides. RefSeq lists it as uncharacterized. The record is from RefSeq and is a predicted model, not a curated record. The transcript has 10 exons. Lineage: Eukaryota; Metazoa; Chordata; Aves; Passeriformes; Passeridae.